CAGUGCGGAUUAACGUCGGGGAUUAACCCUCUGUCGUCCAUCGAUACUUGCUCAAACGGCUAAGUUGUUGGCAAACUUACCUCGCCUUUCUAACCUUUGGUUCCCUUAUGGAACGAAACUAUGUGGUAAGCUCCUACCAAGGACUUCCGUGCCCUAAUCCCUGGCCUUAAUCCGCACUGGAAAUACACCCACAGGUUGCCAGGUAAAUACAUGGGCAUCAAGUUCAGUUUAUGUUCUUUCCUAAUCUCUUGCUAGCUCCCG
RNAcentral lists this long non-coding RNA (261 nucleotides) under Volvox carteri. RNAcentral describes it as "long non-coding RNA (VCAR_LNC002418)". Lineage: Eukaryota; Viridiplantae; Chlorophyta; Chlorophyceae; Chlamydomonadales; Volvocaceae. The record is from RNAcentral.